GAUGAAGAACGUAGCGAAAUGCGAUAAGUAGUGUGAAUUGCAGAAUUCAGUGAAUCAUCGAAUCUUUGAACGCACAUUGCGCCCGCCAGUAUUCUGGCGGGCAUGCCUGUUCGAGCGUCAUUUCAACCCUCAAGCCCCCGGGCUCGGUGUUGGGGAUCGGCGUGCCCUCGCGGCGCGCCGUCCCCUAAAUCUAGUGGCGGUCUCGCUGUAGCUUCCUCUGCGUAGUAGCAACACUCGCACUGGAUCGCAGCGCGGCCACGCCGUUAAACCCCCCACUUCUGAAAGUUUGACCUCGGAUCAGGUAGGAAUACCCGCUGAACUUAAGCAUACAAUAAGCGGAGGA
Molecule: unclassified non-coding RNA, 343 nt
Filed under: soil metagenome
Description: partial contains 5.8S ribosomal RNA, internal transcribed spacer 2, and large subunit ribosomal RNA
Rfam family: 5.8S ribosomal RNA (bases 1-120)
Source: RNAcentral